CCCUAAGGCGAGGCCGAGAGGCGUAGUCGAUGGGAAAUUGGUUAAUAUUCCAAUACUUCUGUGUAAUGCGAUGAGAGGACGGAGAAGGUUAAGUCAGCCUGGCGUUGGUUGUCCAGGUGGAAGGAAGUAGGCAUGCAUCUUAGGCAAAUCCGGGGUGCUCUAUGCUGAGAUCUGAUAGCAAGCUGUACUUGUACAGCGAAGUGGCUGAUACCAUGCUUCCAGGAAAAGUCUCUAAGCUUCAGUUACACAGGAAUCGUACCCGAAACCGACACAGGUGGUCAGGUCGAGUAGACCAAGGCGCUUGAGAGAACUCUGCUGAAGGAACUAGGCAAAAUGGUACCGUAACUUCGGGAGAAGGUACGCUGCUGACGGUGAUGACCCUUGCGGUCUGAGCUAUUGGCAGCCACAGAAACCAGGCCGCUGCAACUGUUUAUUAAAAACAUAGCACUCUGCAAACACGAAAGUGGACGUAUAGGGUGUGAUGCCUGCCCGGUGCUGGAAGGUUAAUUGAUGGGGUUAGCGUAAGCGAAGCUCUUGAUCGAAGCCCCAGUAAACGGCGGCCGUAACUAUAACGGUCCUAAGGUAGCGAAAUUCCUUGUCGGGUAAGUUCCGACCUGCACGAAUGGCGUAACGAUGGCGGCGCUGUCUCCAGCAGAGGCUCAGUGAAAUCGAAAUCGCUGUGAAGAUGCAGUGUACCCGCGGCUAGACGGAAAGACCCCGUGAACCUUUACUGCAGCUUGACAUUGAACUUUGACCUUACUUGUGUAGGAUAGGUGGGAGGCUUUGAAGUUGGAACGCUAGUUCCAAUGGAGCCGUCCUUGAAAUACCACCCUGGUAAUGUUGAGGUUCUAACUCUGUCCCGUUAUCCGGGACGAGGACCAUGUCUGGUGGGUAGUUUGACUGGGGCGGUCUCCUCCUAAAGAGUAACGGAGGAGUACGAAGGUGCGCUCAGCGUGGUCGGAAAUCACGCGUAGAGUAUAAAGGCAAAAGCGCGCUUAACUGCGAGACCCACAAGUCGAGCAGGUACGAAAGUAGGUCUUAGUGAUCCGGUGG
Molecule: ribosomal RNA, 1053 nt
Filed under: Niabella sp.
Lineage: Bacteria; Pseudomonadati; Bacteroidota; Chitinophagia; Chitinophagales; Chitinophagaceae
Description: partial 23S ribosomal RNA
Rfam family: Bacterial large subunit ribosomal RNA
Source: RNAcentral